This 448-nucleotide ribosomal RNA is filed under the name uncultured bacterium. RNAcentral describes it as "bacterial SSU rRNA". It matches the Rfam family "Bacterial small subunit ribosomal RNA", at positions 28 to 458 of the family's 1533-position model. The record is from RNAcentral.
GAUGAACGCUGGCGGCGUGCUUAAUACAUGCAAGUCGAGCGAAGCACUUUAACGGAAUUCUUCGGAAGGAAGAUAAAGUGACUGAGCGGCGGACGGGUGAGUAACGCGUGGGUAACCUGCCUCAUACAGGGGGAUAACAGUUAGAAAUGGCUGCUAAUACCGCAUAAGCGCACAGGACCGCAUGGUCUGGUGUGAAAAACUCCGGUGGUAUGGGAUGGACCCGCGUUGGAUUAGGUAGUUGGUGGGGUAACGGCCUACCAAGCCGACGAUCCAUAGCCGGCCUGAGAGGGUGGACGGCCACAUUGGGACUGAGACACGGCCCAGACUCCUACGGGAGGCAGCAGUAGGGAAUAUUGCACAAUGGGGGAAACCCUGAUGCAGCGACGCCGCGUGAAGGAAGAAGUAUCUCGGUAUGUAAACUUCUAUCAGCAGGGAAGACAAUGACGGU